CACACACACACACACACACAGAGAACACCAUGUGAAGAUGAAGGCAGAGGCAGAGAUGGGGAUAUUAAUGCUGAGAAAAAACUAACUUUAGUGCAACACACAGAAACAGCAUCAACUAUAAAGUUCUGGACAAAGAAAAAUGUAAUUUCUCCCACACCGAAGCCUUGGUUCCACUCAGGAUUGGGCAUCAUCAUAGACUUACCUCCUUGGAAGAGGAGAAGAGCUACUUAGUAACUCUCUUGAGAAAAAUCUCAGAUACCCUAAUCUGUUUUACGAGAUGGUGAACUGAGAGGGCCAACCCACAUACACAGUAAAAAAUAAAAUUUAUU
Molecule: long non-coding RNA, 329 nt
Filed under: Homo sapiens (human)
Lineage: Eukaryota; Metazoa; Chordata; Mammalia; Primates; Hominidae
Description: HSALNT0342840
Source: RNAcentral